Molecule: ribosomal RNA, 492 nt
Filed under: uncultured bacterium
Lineage: Bacteria
Description: partial 16S ribosomal RNA
Rfam family: Bacterial small subunit ribosomal RNA
Source: RNAcentral
AGUGAACGCUGGCGGUAGGCCUAACACAUGCAAGUCGAACGGCAGCACAGUAAGAGUUUGCUCUUACGGGUGGCGAGUGGCGGACGGGUGAGGAAUACAUCGGAAUCUACUUUUUCGGGGGGGAUAACGUAGGGAAACUUACGCUAAUACCGCAUACGACCUACGGGGGAAAGCAGGGGAUCUUCGGACCUUGCGCGAAUGAAUGAGCCGAUGUCGGAUUAGCUAGUUGGCGGGGUAAAGGCCCACCAAGGCGACGAUCCGUAGCUGGUCUGAGAGGCUGGUCCGCCACACUGGAACUGAGACACGGUCCAGACUCCUACGGUAGGCAGCAGUCGGGAAUAUUGGACAAUGGGCGCAAGCCUGAUCCAGCCAUACCGCGUGGGUGGAGAAGGCCUUCGGGUUGUAAAGCCCUUUUGUUGGGAGAGAAAAGCAGCAGGUUAAUACCCCGCUGUUCUGACGGUACCCAAUGAAUAAGCACCGGCUAACUUCGUG